UCAGCUCUCUGUGCCUACCUUUCGGCUUUCACACACUCUGCAUCUUGAUUUUCCCGGUAUUAUCUCAUCUCUCGGAAUAGAACUUUGAAACCAUUCAUGGGAAAACAUUUGAAGGAAAACUUUGAUUUUCAAAUACAGAUUCCAGAUUCCAAGUGCUAUCUCCAUCUCCCACUUUUCUCAAACAAUUGAGAUGAUGUGCUUAUAAGAGGAGUUUUGACAACUAAAUGAUCUCCAUAUUUGAAGGAUGUUCAUGAUGACCAUGAUGACCCUGAAUUUGUACUGGUUGCUAAUUAUGUGAGACUAGAUUCAAAACCUGCAUGAUCUGGUUUGAUCUGUCGUAUGGAGAUUUAAGGUAUGUUACUUUUGGAGCAUAGAUUUAAGGAACAAAGGAGGCUGACAUGGGAGGUCCAUUGGUCCAUCAUAAGGUUCUUGGAGCUGGUUAAGCAGGUUUUUGGUUUAAUGGAACAGGUUAUUAUGAACAUAUGGAGGGACAAUGAAUUUGAUGAUUAUAUAGGGGUUAUAAGGAGUAUUAUCACUAAGAAGUUUAUAAAAGAUGAUUUGGGGAUGGAAAGUAGUAGUAUAUUCUUACGCUGUGCUCUCGAAACCUUUUUUACGAAUGAAAGGAAGUGUAAGGAAAGGGAGUGAAAGAGGAGGAAAGAAAAAAAACUCAUGUUUUCAAAACCUUUUUAGGAAAGAAAAAGAAAACUCGUAUUUGUACAAACCCUAUUUCACAGUCUUCUAAUUAAUCUGAGUUCUUUGUUUGUCGGUGG
Long non-coding RNA from Cynara cardunculus var. scolymus (artichoke), 770 nucleotides. RefSeq lists it as uncharacterized. NCBI's taxonomy places the organism in Eukaryota, Viridiplantae, Streptophyta, Magnoliopsida, Asterales, Asteraceae. The transcript has 4 exons. The record is from RefSeq and is a predicted model, not a curated record.